GAGUGGAAGAUUGUUUUUUCUUAACAUCUGCAAGUUCCAGAAGACUUGGUGUGAAAGGAUACAUUGUUUGUACAUAGGAAUCUGUGUAGACAUCUGCAUAUACUACUGAGGAUAGAGAAAUAAGGUAAAACAAAGUUGCUGGAGAUACACAAGAAACACAAGACUGCCAACCAACCCCAAAGAAGGACCAAAACUAAAAUGUGACCAGGCUGGAGGACCAAGUCACAGGAAGAGGGAAACUGCUGUAGAAACAGAACAACCAUCAGGCACUACAGAGGAAAGAGCUAUUAUACCCAGGCACGAGGGGGUAUGCUAAUGAGUGGGGAAAGCCGAGACACAGAAAGAUGAAGGAAGA
Long non-coding RNA from Mauremys reevesii (Reeves's turtle), 355 nucleotides. RefSeq lists it as uncharacterized. Lineage: Eukaryota; Metazoa; Chordata; Testudines; Geoemydidae. The transcript has 4 exons. The record is from RefSeq and is a predicted model, not a curated record.